This 1294-nucleotide unclassified non-coding RNA is filed under the name Athalia rosae (coleseed sawfly). RNAcentral describes it as "misc RNA ENSAEAG00005008202.1". The record is from RNAcentral. Lineage: Eukaryota; Metazoa; Arthropoda; Insecta; Hymenoptera; Athaliidae.
CUGGUCUUCGAAAAUAAGAGGAAGCGAGUGAAAAUCGCCAUCUAGUUCCAAACAAUGGACUGGAAGCGGUGGUAACGCUGAAAGGUAACGAGAUCUCCUCGCAGCCUCGCUAACAGCUUGAUACGAUUGAUAAUUGGCGUCAUAACAACCAGCCGCUGACGUCCGGGGGUUCCCCAAAACGAAAAAGCCCUCUGCGAAUCUGUUCACCUAAAUUUUAGUGAAUCGUUCAGAUUCUUCUAAUCGACAGAGACCGGCAGAUAAAAUAACCUGGAUCAAGCAACCUAACAUUCUCUGCAUAACAGCACCCUUAUGAAAAUGUGAUAUUAGGUCGUCCGGCGACUAACAUACUCUUAGCUGGUGAUGAAUGUGAGCCAGAUGCUCGUGCACAGCUUGCCGACCAGAAAAGGCUUCGAGAAAGUGCUGCCACAGGACGAUAUUUUGAGCACAUAGUUGCGCUAUAUCUGCGUCUUCUGUGCUCAUCAUCUAAAAAAAGUUCCAAUGCUCUAGGGCUCUCUGUUGCCAGGAAGGAAGUAGACGAGCAAGAUCUGCCAUUUCAACAAGCAGAGAUUCUCGAGCGGUCAGCAGAAGCCGGACUACUUCCUGUUGCACCAGUUGAGCGUGGUGUAUCCUUGUCGCGGAACCCACACAUCUGGUAGUAUGUUCCUGUAGGAUAUUAUUCCAAAAAUUAUCCGGAUGCAAAGUCUAGUAUGCAAUUCAAUAUACAGUUAAUGAUUAUUUUUCUGAAACUCACAAUAUUUCCGAACAGAAUUUUGCUUUCAUCAUUCACACCGGUUUGCUUAAACUGUAACCAUGGCUUGCCUCCACGUGGAGCACUGUAACGUAUAAGCAUGUAGAUAAAAAUACCAGAAGAAUUUUCUAUCUUUCAUUAAGUUAAGACACACUCACCAACUUUGUACGUAAUGCAAAAUACUUUUUCUGCCAUAGUAAUGAUCAGACAUAGAAAAAACGAUACAACGGUGCAAUUAGUCAUGACCCCUCGUGAAAUGUAAGCGAUUGUUUAUCAUGAAUUUGCUGGUGGGAUAUCAAGUAUCUACAAAAUAUCUUUCAACAAAAUAUUAGGUAGCUAGACAUUGGCCAUCUAAUUACGGAAUUUAAAUUGAAGAAUAUACUGACUUUAUAUAAGGUUGAUGUAGAGCGACGAGGCAGACAUGAAUGGUGAUGGAAACUGCUGCGAGAUGGAAAUAAUCGAAGAGUACGGGUAGAUGAUAAUGCAGUCCUUUUGUCGGGGUAAAAUUUAACUGUAGAGCUCUGAAAGUUAGAGCAAGAAAACAAA